GCCCGUGUAGCUCAACUGGAAGAGCGCCGGUCCUACAAACCGGAUGCCGGGGGUUCAACUCCCUCCGCGGGCA
RNAcentral lists this transfer RNA (73 nucleotides) under Actinoplanes friuliensis DSM 7358. Its description in RNAcentral is "tRNA-Val (TAC) (tRNA-Val-TAC-2-1)". It matches the Rfam family "tRNA". From Rfam's summary of the family: Transfer RNA (tRNA) molecules are approximately 80 nucleotides in length. Their secondary structure includes four short double-helical elements and three loops (D, anti-codon, and T loops). Lineage: Bacteria; Bacillati; Actinomycetota; Actinomycetes; Micromonosporales; Micromonosporaceae. The record is from Rfam by way of RNAcentral.